RNAcentral lists this long non-coding RNA (317 nucleotides) under Gossypium barbadense (sea-island cotton). Its description in RNAcentral is "long non-coding RNA (GBAR_LNC006473)". Lineage: Eukaryota; Viridiplantae; Streptophyta; Magnoliopsida; Malvales; Malvaceae. The record is from RNAcentral.
CCAUAUUUGAAAAAUUUUAGACAUAAGCAUACAACUUCAGAAAACAUAAACAUAUUUAUAUCAAACAAACCCAAACUCGUAUUUAACACGACAUCGCCAUCAUGUUCUUAGAACAAGAACAAAUAAACUGGAAAAUGUGGACUCGUAUUCACUUGUGUAAUAUGAUUUCUAGUUUUGGACCAGACAAAGCAUUCGAACAGAAUCGUAAAUGAAAAAUUAAAUAAAAAGAAAAUGGGAUCAAAACAAGGAAUGCCAGCAAGCCUCCAAGACAUGAACACAUGAUAAUGCGGCACCAAUCACCUCAUCCUAAAUUUCUG